This 465-nucleotide ribosomal RNA is filed under the name uncultured bacterium. Its description in RNAcentral is "bacterial SSU rRNA". It matches the Rfam family "Bacterial small subunit ribosomal RNA", at positions 329 to 792 of the family's 1533-position model. The record is from RNAcentral.
GACCAGACUCCUACGGGAGGCAGCAGUGAGGAAUAUUGGUCAAUGGGCUUACGCCUGAACCAGCCAAGUCGCGUGAGGGAAGACUGCCCUAUGGGUUGUAAACCUCUUUUGUCAGGGAGCAAAGAGAGUCACGUGUGACUCAUUGAGAGUACCCGAAGAAAAAGCAUCGGCUAACUCCGUGCCAGCAGCCGCGGUAAUACGGAGGAUGCGAGCGUUAUCCGGAUUUAUUGGGUUUAAAGGGUGCGCAGGCGGAAUGUCAAGUCAGCGGUAAAAUUUCGGGGCUCAACCCCGUCGUGCCGUUGAAACUGGCGUUCUUGAGUGAGCGAGAAGUAUGCGGAAUGCGUGGUGUAGCGGUGAAAUGCAUAGAUAUCACGCAGAACUCCGAUUGCGAAGGCAGCAUACCGGCGCUCAACUGACGCUCAUGCACGAAAGCGUGGGUAUCGAACAGGAUUAGAUACCCUAGUA